UGCCAAGAUUACCUAUGUGUUCCAUUAAGU
RNAcentral lists this non-coding RNA (30 nucleotides) under Rattus norvegicus (Norway rat). Lineage: Eukaryota; Metazoa; Chordata; Mammalia; Rodentia; Muridae. The record is from RNAcentral.